CCAAUAGCGUAUAUUAAAGUUGUUGCAGUUAAAAAGCUCGUAGUUGAAUUUCGGGAUCAAUAUAUCGGUCGUGCCUUGGUACGUACUGGUAUCAUUGGUUUCUCCUUUCUGACGAACCAUGAUGUCAUUAAUUUGGUGUUAUGGGAAGUUAGGACUGUUACUUUGAAAAAAUUAGAGUGUUUAAAGCAGGCUUUAGCUUGAAUACAUUAGCAUGGAAUAAUGAAAUAGGACGUUCGAACCUAUUUUGUUGGUUUCUAGGAUCAACGUAAUGAUUAAUAGGGAUAGUUGGGGGCAUUAGUAUUCAAUUGUCAGAGGUGAAAUUCUUGGAUUUAUUGAAGACUAACUACUGCGAAAGCAUUUGCCAAGGAUGUUUUCAUUAAUCAAGAACGAAAGUGAGGGGAUCGAAGACGAUCAGAUACCGUCGUAGUCUUAACCAUAAACUAUGCCGACUAGGGAUCGGAUGAUGUUAAUUUUUUAAUGACUCAUUCGGCGCCUUACG
Molecule: unclassified non-coding RNA, 499 nt
Filed under: uncultured Glomeromycotina
Lineage: Eukaryota; Fungi; Glomeromycota
Description: SSU rRNA
Rfam family: Eukaryotic small subunit ribosomal RNA
Source: RNAcentral